CCUACGGGAGGCAGCAGUGGGGAAUUUUGGACAAUGGGCGCAAGCCUGAUCCAGCCAUGCCGCGUGUGGGAAGAAGGCCUUCGGGUUGUAAACCACUUUUGUCAGGGAAGAAACGGCUUUUUCUAAUACAGAGAGCUAAUGACGGUACCUGAAGAAUAAGCACCGGCUAACUACGUGCCAGCAGCCGCGGUAAUACGUAGGGUGCAAGCGUUAAUCGGAAUUACUGGGCGUAAAGCGUGCGCAGGCGGCUUUGCAAGACAGAUGUGAAAUCCCCGGGCUCAACCUGGGAACUGCAUUUGUGACUGCAUGGCUAGAGUACGGUAGAGGGGGAUGGAAUUCCGCGUGUAGCAGUGAAAUGCGUAGAUAUGCGGAGGAACACCGAUGGCGAAGGCAAUCCCCUGGACCUGUACUGACGCUCAUGCACGAAAGCGUGGGGAGCAAACAGGAUUAGAUACCCUGGUAGUCCACGCCCUAAACGAUGUCAACUGGUUGUUGGACGGCUUGCUGUUCAGUACGAAGCUAACGCGUGAAGUUGACCGCCUGGGGAGUACGGCGCAAGGUUGAAACUCAAAUUGAAUUGACGG
RNAcentral lists this ribosomal RNA (584 nucleotides) under uncultured bacterium. RNAcentral's name for it is "bacterial SSU rRNA". It matches the Rfam family "Bacterial small subunit ribosomal RNA", at positions 338 to 916 of the family's 1533-position model. The record is from RNAcentral.